CCUUAAAAGGGCCCAAUAGUUUAGUACUCACUCCCUAGAUCUUCAGGAGAUUCUGAGAUUACACUCACUCCUUAUCCCAAAGCAUGAAAUUCACCACUCUGCUCUUGGUGACAGUUCUGGCAGCGGCCCUGGACUGUGUCCAAGUUGCCACCUCCGACUCUGUUCCUGACUCUGCGCCCCCUACUGAUAAUGAGAACUCUGCUGACCAUGAGUACUCUGAAGAAUUCUCAGAUCUACCAGAUGAACUCAAGUUCCUCAAACUCUUCCUAGUGAAAGGUAUCGCUGCAGCAAAAAAUGGCGCUAGUAAAGCAAAAACAGGAAUGCAAACUGGGGCCGAAGGUGGAAAAAAAGUCUAUGAAGAUGCAAAUGAAUUUAUAAAAGGACUGAAAGAACGGUUUGGUAAAUCCCGUUUGCUAUCUAAACAAUGAAAAGAAUGGGGUCACUGGAUUCAAAGCCUAACACCCUUGUGCCCUAAAGCCAUUAAACUGAGAGCAUCCAACUCACUCUGUGCCUG
This 514-nucleotide long non-coding RNA is filed under the name Ictidomys tridecemlineatus (thirteen-lined ground squirrel). Its description in RNAcentral is "lncRNA (ENSSTOG00000034949.1)". The record is from RNAcentral. Lineage: Eukaryota; Metazoa; Chordata; Mammalia; Rodentia; Sciuridae.